ACGAACGCUGGCGGCAGGCUUAACACAUGCAAGUCGAGCGCAUCCUUCGGGGUGAGCGGCGGACGGGUGAGUAACGCGUGGGAACGUGCCCUCUUCUACGGAAUAGCCUCGGGAAACUGAGAGUAAUGCCGUAUACGCCCGCAAGGGGAAAGAUUUAUCGGAGGAGGAUCGGCCCGCGUUGGAUUAGGUAGUUGGUGGGGUAACGGCCUACCAAGCCGACGAUCCAUAGCUGGUUUGAGAGGAUGAUCAGCCACACUGGGACUGAGACACGGCCCAGACUCCUACGGGAGGCAGCAGUGGGGAAUCUUGGACAAUGGGGGCAACCCUGAUCCAGCCAUGCCGCGUGAUCGAUGAAGGCCUUAGGGUUGUAAAGAUCUUUCAGCUGGGAAGAUAAUGACGGUACCAGCAGAAGGAGCCCCGGCUAACUCCGUG
This 432-nucleotide ribosomal RNA is filed under the name uncultured bacterium. RNAcentral describes it as "partial 16S ribosomal RNA". It matches the Rfam family "Bacterial small subunit ribosomal RNA", at positions 29 to 507 of the family's 1533-position model. The record is from RNAcentral.